AGAGUUUGAUCCUGGCUCAGAACGAACGCUGGCGGCAUGCCUAAUACAUGCAAGUCGAACGAUCACUUCGGUGGUAGUGGCGCACGGGUGCGUAACGCGUGGGAAUCUGCCCUUGGGUUCGGAAUAACAUCUGGAAACGGAUGCUAAUACCGGAUGAUGACGUAAGUCCAAAGAUUUAUCGCCUUGAGAUGGUCCCGCGUCCGAUUAGCUUGUUGGUGGGGUGACGGCCUACCAAGGCUGCGAUCUGUAGCUGGUCUGAGAGGAUGACCAGCCACACUGGGACUGUGACACGGCCCAGACUCCUACGGGAGGCAGCAGUGGGGAAUAUUGCACAAUGGGCGCAAGCCUGAUGCAGCCACGCCGCGUGUGUGAAGAAGGCUCUAGGGUUGUAAAGCACUUUCAGCGAGGAGGAAAGGUUGUAAGUUAAUACCUUGCAGCUGUGACGUUACUCGCAGAAGAAGCACCGGCUAACUCCGUGCCAGCAGCCGCGGUAAU
RNAcentral lists this ribosomal RNA (495 nucleotides) under uncultured Sphingomonas sp. Its description in RNAcentral is "bacterial SSU rRNA". It matches the Rfam family "Bacterial small subunit ribosomal RNA", at positions 8 to 524 of the family's 1533-position model. Lineage: Bacteria; Pseudomonadati; Pseudomonadota; Alphaproteobacteria; Sphingomonadales; Sphingomonadaceae. The record is from RNAcentral.